GAAGACAUUAACAAUUUACCUCCUAUUGAAGAAAUACAUGGUCUUAAUUCACCGCCUGUUGAAGAAACAUAUGAACUUAAUUCUUUAUUUAUUGAAGAACCUCCUGAUCCCGAUAUCCCGACACAGGUAGUAAAGGUAAAUUCUCUCUAUAGAUAUGAUAAAGCUGAAGUCCCUCCUACUAAAAUUGCUAGUCAGUGCUUGGAAGAGUUUGAUAACUUUAUGUUUAAGCAAGAUGACUUCAAUGCUUAUUCUGGUAGACAAUUAAAGGAAAAUGCCUAUAUGAUUAGACGCUUGGGUGAUUAU
RNAcentral lists this ribosomal RNA (303 nucleotides) under Triticum aestivum (bread wheat). RNAcentral describes it as "partial small subunit ribosomal RNA". Lineage: Eukaryota; Viridiplantae; Streptophyta; Magnoliopsida; Poales; Poaceae. The record is from RNAcentral.